Molecule: unclassified non-coding RNA, 169 nt
Filed under: uncultured Bionectriaceae
Lineage: Eukaryota; Fungi; Ascomycota; Sordariomycetes; Hypocreales
Description: sequence contains ITS2
Source: RNAcentral
CAACCCUCGACCGGCCCUUCGGGGGCGGUCGGUGUUGGAGCUCGGCGCCGCCCCGGCGGUCGCCGUCUCCCAAACUCAGUGGCGGUCACGCCGCAGCCUCCCCUGCGCAGUAGCACACCUCGCUGGCGGAGAGCGGCGCGGCCACGCCGUGAAACCCCCGACCUUCCAA